UACGUAGGGUGCAAGCGUUGUCCGGAAUUAUUGGGCGUAAAGAGCUCGUAGGCGGCUUGUCACGUCGGCUGUGAAAACCCGGGGCUCAACCCCGGGCCUGCAGUCGAUACGGGCUAGCUAGAGUUCGGCAGGGGAGACUGGAAUUCCUGGUGUAGCGGUGAAAUGCGCAGAUAUCAGGAGGAACACCGGUGGCGAAAGCGGGUCUCUGGGCAGUAACUGACGCUGAGGAGCGAAAGCGUGGGGAGCGAACAGG
This 253-nucleotide ribosomal RNA is filed under the name uncultured bacterium. RNAcentral's name for it is "partial 16S ribosomal RNA". It matches the Rfam family "Bacterial small subunit ribosomal RNA", at positions 524 to 776 of the family's 1533-position model. The record is from RNAcentral.